AUUGUCGAAAAUGUGAUUCUAUUUUUCCAACAACAUAUUCAUUCUUGUUGGACUUUUUUGCUUCUCCAUAUUAAGCAAGUAUUCUGAGUUUGGACGUGAGUUUACAAUAUCUUAUGUGAAUAUCUAUAUAAUUCAUAAAUUCGGGAUCUUCUAUUAAAAUUGAUUUUUUAUUCUUGUAGUUAGCUCAGAUCUCUUUGCAUACAUCAAAUAAAUGACAGUCCCUAUAAACCCAUAUCAGAAGCAAUAACACGCAUAUACGAAAGUAUUAAUGCGUUUAAAGAGGGACAAAAAGAAACAUAUGAUCGAAAAAGAGGUGAAAUAAAAAAAUCAAACUUCGCCAUUACUGGCGGAUUGGAUGACAAAAAUAACUACGACACAUGGUCCAAUGCCUGCUCCUCUCCUACUUCUCCUGAUGCUGAAUACGACCACGUACAAAACAUUGGCACGGUUCUGAUGACGUGUUUACCAGAAGAUGUAUACAGCAAACAGACACCUCUUAUUCAUGAAGUUCUAGUGAUUCAAACAAAUAUGUAAUGAAGAAAAUGAGAACCCGAAAGACUUGCUCAGUGAAAAGACAACAGAAUCAAUUAAUUGAUUAUUCAGUGUGGAAGAAAAGAAUUCAGGGACUCGGAUUUGAGCAAAUUUCAGGAAAGUGAUAUUAAAAGCAUUGUUGGAAAUGCUUAAUCUGACAAAAGGGAGACAGCAAAAGCAAAACAUCGUUUACGAGAAAAACAGCAAAAUACACAAAAAGAACCCUGUCUUACAAAUGAAGCUGUUGUCGAGAACAGAAAAAAAGACGGCAGACAAAGAUGUGGGCAAAAGCUUAGAAAUGGGAAUAAAAGAUCAAGACACCUAAAGUGGGAAGGGAGAUUUGAAGAAAUCAAACUUUAAGGUAGAAAGUAAAUCUGGUAACAAUCCUCCUUCCUUACAAAGAGCAGGAAAAGUGGUGGACAAAGCAACGUCACUUCUAGGGCAAAUAUGAACAGAGUGCUGUCUGACACAAAACUGUAAAUAGAAAGUGGAAAAACAUGCUGAUGAACCCCAUGCAAAAGAGAAACAAGACCGUGACAGAUGCGCGAAGGAGACAUUGAAGAUAAUGUGAAUUUUCAUUGGGAUGUAUCGUCAUAUCAGUUUACGAAUUGUGAGGCAAGUCUAAUGAAACUUUAUCAUAACAUUUCCUUAGAUAACGCGAAAUCUCGCGAGAACUUAGACGGUCUGCUCAUCUGC
This is a long non-coding RNA of Saccostrea cuccullata (small rock oyster), 1227 nucleotides long. RefSeq lists it as uncharacterized. The record is from RefSeq and is a predicted model, not a curated record. NCBI's taxonomy places the organism in Eukaryota, Metazoa, Mollusca, Bivalvia, Ostreida, Ostreidae. The transcript has 3 exons.